Ornithodoros turicata is the source of this 2544-nucleotide long non-coding RNA. RefSeq lists it as uncharacterized. Lineage: Eukaryota; Metazoa; Arthropoda; Arachnida; Ixodida; Argasidae. The record is from RefSeq and is a predicted model, not a curated record. The transcript has 3 exons.
AGGAAUCGUUGGGACACCAGUUCACAGGAGGUGGCCAAUAUGGGUUCUGCCUGUAUGCCUGGUAGAAAUCCCGCAGCUGCAUAUCCCUCGCCCGUAUCCACUGCCGAAGAAUCAUCACAACCGCUGCAGCAAACCGGCUGAAAGCAGGAAUCAGCACAUAUGCCUGCGAAAAGAUAAGUAGAUUCUGCUUUCUGAUGCUUCCGGCAAGAGAUUAGCCCACUAAAAUUCACAGGUGUGUGUGCAUUCAAAAAUUGGCUCAGACUUAGCACUACAAUGGCAUUAUGCUUGAUCUGUACUCCAAUGAUGCAUUUCUCUAUAUAUUUCUUGUACACACACUGUAUUGCAGUCGUUCCAAAGUCUUACAUCAAUGUGCACUAUCCCAGUGCCAAAGAGCUGAAGUUUACAUUCAAUCUGCCAAGACAAAGAAAACAGAAUAAAAGGAAGACAAAACAGAAAGGAAAGACUGCUACUCGCGGGAAUGUUGCUGCGGUGUGGCUGCUCAACCACUGACUGGCACUCAAGAUUCGCUGCGCAUCCUCACAAGGCUUGUCUGUGAUUUUCCCGACUUCACCUGCUUUUUGGCAAAGUCCCUGACAAUCCCCUGCCUUUUCCAGUCACAUUAAAAUUCCCUGACAAUUCCUGGUUUUCCAGGUGGUUCUGCCGGCAGCGGUACGACGACAGAAGCAGACGACAAUUCCCGACGUGCCUUACGCUCCCUAGGUGGCGUUCAUCAAAUUUGCACCAAAAAUCUACUAAUUUUGCAGAUUACGAGAGGUAUCCAUUUCAAUCCCAUCCAAUCCACUUGCCACCCAAAAUGGCACUGCCCAUGUUGGAUACGGGGACAAAUAGAGAGGAUAGGUUUAUUGAUAGCGCCCCAUAUUUCAAGACUUCAUUGGUCAGAAAGCUGAAAAAGUGGGGAGAGCUUCAGGUAUAGGCAUGACCCAUUAAUGGCCAGACUCCCUUUUAAUAUACGGCUCUGGUCUGGCGCGAAGAGCCGCUCUUGUGUUUCCUUCCUCCAUGGUAAAAACGAUGAUGUUUCACGAAGUUUGACCUGUGCCUCACCCGAUGAUCGAAAUAUUUUUUUUUUUGCGCUUUGGUGGCGUUUUACACCAUAACUCUUUCAGAACACACGGAAAACACAUAAUAUGAGCCAAAAAUGCGAUUUUCAGAAAUUCUUUUUUUUUUUUUUUUACAUUUUUCGAUGAUCGAUCACCACAUCCCCCUUUAAGGAGAUUCCGAGAGCCUGGUUCCUGGAUAAUACUGUACGAAUGCACCUCGUUAAUGAUGAAUGUUGCAAUUUUCUCAGUUAUCAUUUUUGUCCAUGAAGACGCCAACGACAGUUUCAGUUUGAAACUACUCAAGGACGCAGUGCAUGUAAAUUAAUUCCUAUGUUUCUUUACAGCCAACCUGUGCAUUGGCACUUGUGUUCUUAAGCUUUCAAGGUGUUGAAACUGAGCAUAAUGUCAUCUUAUAUGGUUCACAAGCAGAGUAGUUCAUUCAGUGUGUCACAGUCCUUAACAAUGAGCCACAUGUUGAACACUGAUGUUGAAAACUUUAAAUUAGACUUAUAAGUGGUGCCCAAUUCCGUAGCAGUUGUCACUUGAUUACCAUGUUGGAGACCAAAAGCUGCCCCGAACACAAGUACCAAAUACAACGCGGAAGAUUUUCAAACAUAUAUGUAUUUAGAAAAGAAAAAAAAUUGAAUAUCAUACAUGGAAUUCAUCACAAUGCAAACUGGAGCAGCACCUUAGUUCUGCCAGAAGUAAAAACAAAAACGCACACUUCAAAUUAUAGUGCCAGCACGAUACAAACUGGAGAAAAUCUGGGCCCAUGUAUUUACGUGCCCAAUACCAUAGGUAGCUGUGCCAGUGCAUCAGCGGCUUUAUCCAUUUCGUACUGCCUCGAAUGGUGGGGCGCCGCGUCCGAAAACUAAACUGAUUAAAUGAACGAAAAACUGAGGUCAUCUUUUAAUCGUCACGCACCAGUUAGUCUGUGCCCUCUCUCUUUUGUCGAACUAAACUGAUGUUGCAGGUAUUGUGAAAUGACGUCAAAUACAACGGUUGAAAGAUGACAUGCCCAGUAAAGAUACGAGACAUCACAAGUGCGCACUCUACGGUCAUAAAGUGGUGGUGCCCUCCACGACACAAAAAGGACUAGGCAUCCCUGAACACUGACACCUUAUCUCUAAGCGAUAUUUGAAACAAAUUUAUAAUAUUCUCGAAUAUGAAUCGCUAUUCCAUUCAACACCAGAACUGAAUACCAUAAUCUGAUACUUGAUUUGAUUUGAUAUUUGAAACUUGAGAAUAUUCACAAAGAGAUGUGAUGACACCCACACCAGAUAAUUUUCGUUUUCAAGGCCCCUCGUCUAAUCACCAUCUUACGGUGCGCAGGAUAGCUGCCGAGGCCAAGAGACGAAGACCCUCGCUUGCAACAUCCAUAAAUGCGAAGGUCACCUUUGGCUGUCCUGUCAGUCCUACUACUCGCCGAGAGAUGGCAAUCAGAUUAGGAAGCUCAAAAGACGAACACUAUCUGGAUGCUGCCUUC